UACACGCCUAUUUUAGUCGACCUGGAUCAUGAAAAGUAUGGGGUUUAAACCUCAGAUAAGCAAGCUUCAUACUUUUCAAUAUACAUAUACAACUCUUGUCUUGGUGUCUUGCGCUGAACACUUUAGCUUAUAAUGAAUACAACUUUAAUAAUAUACCUACAUGAAAAAAUAUUCAACUAUGACUAUGGCAAAGAGCCGGUGCAAUUUUGUCGUAAUACAAUGCCAAAAUGCAAAAGAAUUUCACACCAUUCUUUUAUGAUUGGCAUUGUGAAGAAAACACAAAAUUGCCAAAUAAGAUAUAUACUUUGCCAAACUUGCUUCGUGCUUGAGAUAUUUAACAAUUUUUGCUAUUCAAAUUAUCUUCACUAUAUGACGUUGCAUUGCAUAAUGACUUCCUGCCAAAAAUGUCAAGCUCUUGGGAUAUUGUGCAUCGAGGUCAUAUGUAUAUAUGGGUUAUGACAACAUACUACAAAUCAAUGUUAAGGCCCGUUUAUACUUACGAUUUUUGCUGCGAUUUCAGAUGCGAUUUUCUUCUCCUGAUGUAUGUGAACGAAUGGAUGAGUUAGGAUGAGGGACGAUGAGGGAUGAUGACGUAUAAACUCGUAUAUGAUGAUAUAUAUAAACUUUUAUAAUAUAGCAUUUGUAAAUUUCAUUGGCUAAGAGCCGUGUUGAUAUAACUCAAUGUCAACACGGAAACGUCGGAAAAUU
Paramuricea clavata is the source of this 708-nucleotide non-coding RNA. Lineage: Eukaryota; Metazoa; Cnidaria; Anthozoa; Malacalcyonacea; Plexauridae. The record is from the annotation of a GenBank genome assembly.